AGUGGCGAGGCCAUCUCCAAGGCGAUGAUGGACAUCUUCAACACCCAUGGUUCUCCUGAGGUCCAUCUUGAGUGACCGAGGUCAUGGAUGCUGGAACAAGGUUUGGUGAUGGACCAACCAGACUCUCAAGACUGCCAUGGGCCAGUCCCUUGAUUGGUAUCAGGAAGGUUGGGAGAACAACCUGAAGAGUUACCUCGGUGGAAGCCAACAAUCUUCUCCAGUUGGAGCAGUUGGACGGUCGAUCACUGAAAGCACUGACGCCCUACACUUCAGGGAAGCCCAAUAGACAAAGARCACACUGUCCGAGCCCCCCAGGAGGUAUCCCACCCACCAGUGAGUUUGGAUCAGUCUGAUUCUCUGUGCUCUGAGUCGGAGGGGGACCAGCUUGAGGACCUCGGGGUUCUGCCCAACACUCAGACGUGGAUCCAUCUGAUGUCCUCCAUUCCCAACCACCCUCCAACCUUUCAUUACAUCCUCUACAGCUACUGUUGUUGUCAUGUUGUCAUUAUCUGCUAAGAAGGUUUUCUUGCUCUAUCAUAUCGGGCUCAUAAUAUGUGAGAUACACAGAUGAACUAAAAACACUAGCACUGCAAA
Molecule: long non-coding RNA, 594 nt
Organism: Salvelinus sp. IW2-2015
Lineage: Eukaryota; Metazoa; Chordata; Actinopteri; Salmoniformes; Salmonidae
Source: RefSeq, a predicted model, not a curated record